Molecule: long non-coding RNA, 1094 nt
Filed under: Polistes fuscatus (common paper wasp)
Lineage: Eukaryota; Metazoa; Arthropoda; Insecta; Hymenoptera; Vespidae
Description: uncharacterized LOC122520427
Source: RNAcentral
ACUGUGAAUAAGUAACGUGAGAAAUGGAGAAAAAAACUCGGACGAAGUAUUCAUUAAUUCAAUUUUUUAACGAAAAACGAAUUUUGAAAAUCGAGAUUUUCUACAACGUAAACUAAUAUAAUUUUACCAAAUGAAAAAAUAUAACAAUAUAAAGGAGUAUAUCAAUUUGAAUCCUGUUGGACAUUUAGAAGACAGUUACAAAACGUUUUAAGUAUUGUAUCAAAAAUUUAAAUAUAAAUAAAUGUUCAAAAAAAGCAAAUGCUCGUGUUUGCAAAUAAAGAAGUAACAAGUGAAAGAAUUCGAGCAAGCAAUAGCUGACCUAUUGGAAAUCCAACAAAAAGUCGUUCGUGCCAGUUUCGAUUCCGCUAAGAUUACAAAUUUUAAGAAAGCAAAGAUAUGAUAUAGAAUGGGUAUAUAAGUGUCUUCUAAUUAGAAUUAAAAGCCCCGCAGUAUAUGACCAACUUGGAAAAAGACAAAUUUUACCCCUUCCUUGCAAAGAUACUUUAAAUUCUUACAUCCAAAAAUUGAAUAGUGUUUUCGGUUUCCUAAAUUAUUCUUCAUGUAACUAUCGAAUUGCUGUUGUCUCUUCCUCUUUUAGCUUUAUCUCUUCUGUAAAUUUGCUCCAGUGUCUUUCUUUUUAUCAACUUUUCAUUUGCUUUCAAAUAAUUACUUUUUGAAACUUUGCAAUAAUGUUUGAAUAAAAUUCAUUUAAAAAAUUUCAACACAUUUUCUAUCAAGCACACGUCUUAUUGAUAAAAUAGCUUUAAGUGAAGGGGUUAAAUUAAAUUCACGUACUACAGUCAACCCUCCUAUAACGCGGUGAGUGCGUACCGCGUUAUAUGGAAACCGCGCUAUAAGAAACUCGGAUUUAACCGUACAAACCAGGCUAAUUCGUAGCGCGUUCUAUGGAAACCGUCUACCGCGUUGUAUGGAAACCGCGCUACAAGAAACGCAGAAUUAGUACAAAUCACAUUAUUCGUACCGCGUUAUAUGGAGACCAAUAAGGACAAGAUAAAUUAUAAAUUAUUUUUAUUGAAUUGAAGAGUUUAUAUAAAGAAAUGAUACCAAAACUAAACUGAAAAACUGUUUUCCAA